Oncorhynchus nerka (sockeye salmon) is the source of this 1180-nucleotide long non-coding RNA. RefSeq lists it as uncharacterized. The transcript is spliced from 2 exons. Lineage: Eukaryota; Metazoa; Chordata; Actinopteri; Salmoniformes; Salmonidae. The record is from RefSeq and is a predicted model, not a curated record.
CCCAAGAGGAAUGGGAGGUGGUGGAGGAGGUGUGCAGAGUCCUGUUGAUGCUCUGACCCAAGAGGAAUGGGAGGUGGUGGAGGAGGUGUGCAGAGUCCUGUUGAUGCUCUGACCCAAGAGGAAUGGGAGGUGGUGGAGGAGGUGUGCAGAGUCCUGGAACCCUUUGAGCAGGUCACUGUGGAGUUCAGUGGAGAGAGCUAUGUGACAGCCUCACAAAUGAUACUCCUGUGUCGGGGUCUGCAGUGAAUCACAGCCAGCCGCCAGAGAGAAGCAAAUGUAACCACAGGACAUGUGACAGAGUUGAUGGACACCUUAUGUUCAUCAAUGGACAGAAAGUUCCACAGAAUGGAAUAUAAUCACAUGCUAUCAGAAACCGCUGCACUUGACCCCGGUGUAAGAAGUUAGCCUUCAGUGAUGCCAGAGUGAUUGAUGAGGCUCUUCAAAGAAUAACCUCAGCAGCAGGGAGGGACAGCCCCAGCAGUCAGCUGGCUCAGGCACCAGGGAAACAGGAGGAAGAGAGAUUAGAUGGAGCAGAAGCACCAGCAGUCAGCUGGCUCAGCCACCAGGGAAACAGGAGGAAGAGGGAGCAGAUGGAGAAGAAGCACCAGCAGUAGUGCCACAAACAUCUGCUGUUUGGAUGCUGUUUGACAAGAGAGCAACUGGGGAUGCAACACGAAGGAAUCCCUCAGCAGAUGGAGGUCCGGUCCUAUUUGGAGGAGCCACUCCUCCAAUGAUCUGCAGAUCCUCUGAGCUGGUGGAAGAACAAGGCCUCUGUCUACCCACAGCUUACUAAAGUCAUGACAGGGAGACUCUGCAUAGUGGCCACAUCUGUUCCCUCUGAGAGGGUCUUCUCGAAAACGGGACAAAUAAUUACUGAGAGAAGAAAGCUCAUCAGCCCCUCGAAAGUGAGGCAGCUUGCAUUUCUGAAUGCAAAUCUCUCAUAAAAGCAAAAUAUGGUCAGCAUUGCUGUGGGCUGCUAGUUUAAUACAUGGCAACAAAGAAGAGAAAGAAAAGAGGGACCAGUUUAAUGUUUUCAGUGGGAUGCUGCAGUUUUUCACAUUGUUAUUUAUUUUUCUUUGAUAUGGUGCAAUAUUCUAUUAUACUGUUCAGAUUGUAUUUGUUUUGAAUUGUUACAUUUAUAUGCACUUUGUUUAUAUACAUUAAAAAGUUGUACUUUAAA